This 598-nucleotide non-coding RNA is filed under the name Pan troglodytes (chimpanzee). The record is from RNAcentral. Lineage: Eukaryota; Metazoa; Chordata; Mammalia; Primates; Hominidae.
UGCCUGGAGUGAAGAUUCUGCCCAUUGGUCAAGAGACCUCCCUCUCAGAUGCUGGCUCUGCCCCUGCCUUUGGGGGUCGACCCUUGUACUCGCAGGACCUUAGGUGACUCUGUAAGUAUAGUAAAACGCAGUUAAUAUGAUGUUAUCAUUCAAUUAUUUUUAAAAAGUGGAGCAACCAGUUGACAAGGACUUUGUCAAAGGAAAAAUUUCUGCAUGUGCACACACAGAUCUUGGAAGUUUAUUCAUCUCAGCAGAGGCAGACAGGAGCAUCAACAGCCUUGGGGACAGCAGCAGUGGUGGCAGGGCAAAAUAAAACUUAUAUGAAACUGCAAUCACUAAUGUGUGAAAAUGGAAGAUUCAGGAAGUGUUUCAUAUCUGAAAUAUGAACCCAACGUGGAAUCAACAUGCAUCCAAACAGGACUAAAUGUGCAAACCCAAGGCAAGAUUAAAACUAUAAAUAUUUAGCAAUUUGGCAAAUUGGUCAUUUUGGAGACUAGCUUUUAGCAAAUUCAUCAUAUGUUUAAUUGAUUUCCAGUAAAUUGGCUGCUUCCAUCAAGGUUGCCUUGGGUGACUAUGUCCAAGCAACCAAAUUGCUCUC